This is a non-coding RNA of Leptonychotes weddellii (Weddell seal), 7655 nucleotides long. Lineage: Eukaryota; Metazoa; Chordata; Mammalia; Carnivora; Phocidae. The record is from RefSeq and is a predicted model, not a curated record.
GCGGCGGCGGCAGCGGCGGCGGCGGGCGCUGAAUGAGAGACGCCGAUUGCUCGGGUCGCCGGGCGCUAGCCUAGGCGGCGGCGGCAACGGUGACGAAGCCUGAAGCCGGCGUCGUCUUUCCAUCCUUCGAGGCGACGGCCGCAGCUGCACAGGACUAAUAAUGUAUUUGUGGCCUUGGACGUGAAGCCGUCAGUCUUCUAUUGCUGUUAACAUAGCGUCCAGGACUGAUGUUGUGGGAAGCAUGGACCUAAUGAACGGGCAGGCAAGCAGUGUUAAUAUUGCCGCUCCUGCUUCCGAGAAAAGUAGCAGUUCCGAAUCAUUAAGUGACAAAGGUUCCGAACUGAAGAAAAGCUUUGAUGCUGUGGUCUUUGAUGUUCUUAAGGUUACACCAGAAGAAUAUGCGGGUCAGAUAACACUAAUGGAUGUUCCAGUAUUUAAAGCCAUUCAACCAGAUGAGCUUUCAAGUUGUGGAUGGAAUAAAAAAGAAAAAUAUAGUUCUGCACCAAAUGCCGUUGCCUUCACAAGAAGAUUUAAUCAUGUAAGCUUUUGGGUUGUUAGAGAAAUUCUUCAUGCUCAGACAUUAAAAAUCAGAGCAGAAGUGUUGAGCCACUAUAUUAAAACUGCUAAGAAACUGUAUGAGCUGAAUAACCUUCAUGCACUUAUGGCAGUGGUUUCUGGCUUACAGAGUGCCCCAAUCUUCAGGUUGACUAAAACAUGGGCGUUACUAAGUCGAAAAGACAAAACUACCUUUGAAAAAUUAGAAUAUGUAAUGAGUAAAGAAGAUAAUUACAAAAGACUAAGAGACUAUAUAAGUAGCUUAAAGAUGACGCCUUGCAUUCCCUAUUUAGGUAUCUAUUUGUCAGAUUUAACAUACAUUGAUUCAGCAUACCCAUCAACUGGCAGCAUUCUAGAAAAUGAGCAAAGAUCAAAUUUGAUGAAUAACAUCCUUCGAAUAAUUUCUGAUUUACAGCAGUCCUGUGACUAUGAUAUCCCCAUGUUGCCUCAUGUCCAAAAAUAUCUGAACUCUGUUCAGUAUAUAGAAGAACUACAGAAGUUUGUGGAAGAUGAUAAUUACAAGCUUUCGUUAAAGAUAGAACCAGGGACAAGCACACCACGCUCUGCUGCUUCGAGAGAAGAUUUAGUAGGUCCUGAAGUAGGAGCAUCUCCGCAAAGUGGAAGAAAAAGUGUGGCAGCUGAAGGAGCCCUGCUACCACAGACACCGCCGUCCCCUCGGAACUUGAUUCCACAUGGACACAGGAAGUGCCAUAGCUUGGGCUAUAAUUUCAUUCAUAAAAUGAACACAGCCGAGUUUAAGAGUGCAACGUUCCCAAAUGCAGGGCCAAGGCAUCUAUUAGAUGACAGCGUCAUGGAGCCCCAUGCACCAUCUCGAGGCCAAGCUGAAAGUUCUACUCUUUCUAGUGGAAUAUCAAUAGGUAGCAGUGAUGGUUCUGAACUAAGUGAAGAGACCUCAUGGCCUGCUUUUGAAAGGAACAGAUUAUACCAUUCUCUCGGCCCGGUGACACGAGUGGCACGAAAUGGCCAUCGAAGCCACGUGAAGGCCAGCAGUUCUGCAGAAUCAGAAGAUUUGGCAGUACAUUUAUAUCCAGGAGCUGUUACUAUUCAAGGUGUUCUCAGGAGAAAAACUUUGUUAAAAGAAGGCAAAAAGCCUACAGUGGCAUCGUGGACAAAGUAUUGGGCAGCUCUGUGUGGGACACAGCUUUUUUACUAUGCUGCCAAAUCUCUAAAAGCUACAGAGAGAAAGCAUUUCAAAUCAACAUCAAAUAAGAACGUAUCUGUGGUAGGAUGGAUGGUGAUGAUGGCUGAUGACCCAGAACACCCAGAUCUCUUCUUGCUGACUGACUCUGAGAAAGGAAACUCAUACAAGUUUCAAGCUGGCAACAGAAUGAACGCGAUGCUGUGGUUCAAGCAUUUGAGCGCAGCUUGCCAAAGCAACAAGCAGCAGGUUUUCAGAAAAAGAUUACUAAAGUGAUAGCUGUUAAGCUGUUUUAAAGGACAGAGAAAUGACCACUGAAGUGAGAAUAUCUCUCCCAGCACAACUUCAGAAAACAGUUCCUACAAACUUGAUGACUUUUGAGUAGAAGCCUAAGAAAGAAGCGAGGUGAACUAUCACCCCUAAGUGAGAGUGAGGAGGUGACGCGAGUGCCAGCUGAGCCAGUUCUGGGCCAGGAGGAGCCCAGAGGCUGCGUCUCAAGCCUUUGGAGUUCUGAACCAAAAAAAGCACUAAUUUCAGGGAAUGAAGUGAGAUAUUCCCAGAGAACACAUUGGAGUCACUAAACAAACUGCCAUGGACCGCGCUGCUUUUCUCUGAACUGACCUGCGGAAACCACUGCCUUAAACGAACGAAAGGAAAACCAACAUGAAGCACCAAAUAGUGUGUGUGCAUCUUCUGGCGGUGCUGUGCUUGGAAUAGAUCGUAGCCCAUUUGCGUUUCUUUUAACUUUGUACUAAUUUUGGAGGGGGGAAUCUCCUUUUUUUAGACACACUUUAAAAAGGAAAACAUCUUUCUUAUGAGUUAUGUGAGGGGCUGGUGUAGAAAGGAGGUGUGAAGAUGCUCCGCCUGCCCCGGGGGGCUUCUCCGCUCCCGGUCAUCUGCAGCCUCCCUGGCUCUCCCACGGCAAGAGUUUCGGGAUUAGACAUGUUCAUAAUGUGAGUUGUUGGGGUUCGUUUGGGAUUGGGGGCGGGGGUUGUUUCGAAUGAGGGGAGAUUUUUCUUAAACACUAAACUUCGGAAAUUGAGUUCUGGGUGGGGAGCAUCAUUUCUUGCAGGAGGCAUGAAGGCUGAGCGCUCCUAUUCCAGACACUCUUUUCAAGUGGGCUCCAGAAAGCAUGGUUGUUUUUAACUGGAUUUAAAAUUUAGCCUUCUAUAUGAAUUCAUUGUUGGACCACAGAUCUGCUUAGGAAAGAACCGUAAUCCCAACCUAAACUUUUCUGAGAUUUUACAGUAAUUACAUUUUUUUUCAAGUGAAUUGAAUUAUCCCUUCUACCAGUCUCUGGUGACUUUUGUCAUCAAGAUGAUAUACUGAUACUUCAUCAGGAUAUUUUCUCUUACAGUGUUUCAUGUACACAAUGCCAGUUAUUUUUUUUAUUACUCAUUUUCGUUAUUUUUGUUAAGUAUGAGAGUCAGGAUUACAUUUGUUUAAAAGAGCUUCCGCAUAUGUAUGUGUGUAUGUAUUUUAUUAUAAGUCACAGAAAAUUUUAAAAGGGAAAAGGGUGAAAGAUUGAGAUUCUGGGAAUCUUAAGUAUCAAAACUUCCCUUCUUAUGUAACUUUCCUUUAUUACAAAACACUUUUCUGAAAACGUACUGUAGGUCCUGGCCAUGAAACCAUAUUCUGUCAGUGGUAGACCAAGCUGUUUUGGGAGAGCUCUUCCAUGCAACAGUGCGUUUAAUUUCCAGAAUAAAUGUUGAAUUGCAAGAAGAAAAAAAAAAAAAAGGUUUAAAGGUGAGCUGCCUUAGAGUUUUAACAAAAAAUGGCACUUGAACAAAGACUGUGUGUUAGAUGUUAGAAACUCAUGGGGCAUCCUAUAUUUUAGCAGUGGCCCAGAGGAAGAAACUCUUUUUGACUGAUCUCUUCCAAUAAACUUGUAAUACUUCGGGCCUCACAUAAAAUUUCUUACAUUUGCAUUCUUAGAGAAUUUCAUACUUUUUUUUUAAUCAUCUUGAAGCCUUGAAACUUAAAUAGAAAAUAUUGCUCACAGAAUCAUUAGCUAAAAGUCUAUCCAAAGGAAAAUAGAAGAGCUUUUGGAAAGGAUGUUAAGAGUUCAGGUAUUUUUCUCAUAUAGCACAGUUAGAAAUACCAUUAUUUCUGGUUUUGUGGAAAGUGACAUGGGCUGGAGAGGGCAAAAUGCUGCCUGUGCUUAGUGAUUUUUCAAUUAAUGAUCUCCCAAGCUUAACCCACGUUGGGUACAUAGACACCACCUGCGUCGCCAGCAGUAUUACUAUAUAGACCUUGCACAUCUUUCUUUUGUUUUACAUCUUCUAAAAUUCCUUAAUUUGUGUAUUUCUCUUCAGAAAUAAGUGUUUUUAACAGUGUAUGUGCUUUUUAAAAAAUUCUGUGGAUGAGAACCCUGUGGAUUUUUUAUUACUGUUUUGUUUGUCAUAAAUAAGCUAAAGUAGAUACAUUGUACCAUAUUUGAGGAGAUUCGCAACUAGAAGUCAGAGCCUGACAUCACAGUUUUGCCAAAGAGAGAGCUGAACUGGAAGAUGUGUUUGAUACUUCAGCUCUAACAUUACGGGAUACGUGCACAGGGAAAGAAUAGUGUUCAAAUUUGGUGAAUAGUCCCUAUGUAGAAUUGUGGCCUCUGACUGAGCGAAACUCUUAACACAACUGUACAGUAGAAGUAGACAUUGUUCUCUCUUCAAAUCUGUCUAUUCAAAAGAUUAGACGUUGCUUUUGAAGAUGAUUUUAGCAUUUGAAACAAAUGGAAACCAGUGAGAGAAGUGAAUUGAAAUUGCAUAGGUGAAUUAUUUGAUCUGUAAUUCACCAAAUGAUGUAAUAAUUCAAGCAAAGAAAAUAGGUCACCAAAAUAUAUUAAAUAUUUAGGUAGUUUAUUAGUAGGAAGUUGAAAUUUUUUCCUCUUAUUAAGCUUAUGCUUAAUAAAUUAGUAAAUUAGUGACUCAAAAGCUUGAAAUUUCUAUCAAUAUUAAGCUCAUUUGUUUCUCUCCUAGCCAAGAACAACUCAUUAGCAAUGCCAUUAUAAUUUAAAUUUAAGCUAGUUUAUGAGAAGCAUAAAUAUUGGCAUUUAUACGGCCUGGUGUAGUAGUAUAUAAUACUAGCCAAAAUACGGUUUGAGACACAUCUCAUUUAUUUCAGUUUAUUUGAACCUGGAUGCUUAUUUUUCAUACAGAAGUAACAUCAGUUUUAAAAAUACACCUAUAAAAAGAACUGCAUAAUAAUGACCUUCAGAGCACUAGUUUUGGUUUCAUGCCCCCUCUGUGUUUGGCCUUUGCUUUAUUUUUUUCAAAGAUACUGUUUUUACUGUAAUCUCCAGACUAUAAGAAUUGAAAGAGAACUGAUCAAACACACCUUUCUAUAGCGUUUUCUUCACUAUGUAAAUAUUAUUUGUAUAAACAUUACAAAAAGGGAUCCAAACAAUUUGAUUUUUUUUUUUUCUCCCUGGGUAUGUGCUUCAAGGACAAUUUGUUUUUCUGUGUAGAAAAUGGCAUAUGUCAAGAGUUAGGGGAUUCAUCGCUCCCAGGUUUUUAUAAGUGGCUUUAUUCCUCUUCUAGAAAUGCCUUCCAGAAGAGCCCAAGGAGCACUGUGGUUACAGAGGGGCAAAUGGUCGCAGUCUGUGGUGUACGUACUCCACGGAUUAGCUGAACCUGGGGGCCCUGGGAUUACUAGAAUAUACCUGGCCACAUGAGCUCGGAAGUCUUCUGAGCUUAAACCCGUAAGCUAUACACCUUUCCAACUGAAAACAAAACUAUAAGGCAUUCAUUGGAAAUCCAUAAUAAUAGUAGACUUCAUCCAUUAACUUUUUAAAAGAAUAUAUCCACUGUUGAUUUCUUUCUUGUUUUCUGAGGCACAUUCCUUUCCACCCAGUCUUUAAACCACCAUAUUACCUCCUUGUGCCAACAAGGAGGAGCAGUGUUGCUUCCAAGAGAUAAUCUUUAAUAAAAGAAAUCCUCUGCUUCAGAGGCUUUUGAAAUCCUUGGAUCCCUUUUUGAAAGUGAAGAUGAGCUCGCCCGGGGCCCCAGUGGAACCGUGGUGCUGCUGUUGCACAAGCAGACAGUACAGAGCACGUGGUGAGGUUUGCCUGGUCUUUUCAGUGACCUUCUAGGGCUUGCUUUCAUUUUCUCUCUCCUUUUGUACUACUUUUUUCAAACAUAGUAAAUUUAUGAUUUUACAGCCAGAGUGGUAUUCUGUUUUUUUCUAAGCUUCGAGAUACACUGUUACUUAAUCACAUUGAUGAGCAUUAUUUUCACGUGAAGUCAACCUUCUCAAAAUGAUCUAAGGAAGUCCUUUUUGGUCCUGCUCCCCUAAAAAUGGCUUGUAACUAAAGUGACUCUUUUUUUUUCCAUUUAGAGGAUUCUGAUGAAAGAUCUGUGCGUGCAAACUCUUACAGUUAUUGAAAGGAAUUUCACUACACCAGUAUCUCAAGUUGUAGUGUGGGGAAAAUUUGGUCAGUGCCUUAACAAUUUGAAGACCAAUUUUAGGGCAUUGAGUAUGAUGAUAAUCAUUUGCCCUCUUACUCCUCUUAUGUCAGGAGUGUGUGCUAUCCUUCUCUCCACCAGCUUACUCUUUCUUACUCUUUGUCCCAGCAAGUGUAAGAGAGCACAGAGUCUACAGAUAGCCUCCAGGUCAUUGUUACAGCCCUCCCAGGUCCUGAGUCUGUUCAGACAAGCUCCCUCCCUGCUCCUCUUCUGCCGGGGUAGGAGAUUAAAAAUAAACCCACCCAGAUCAACCUUUAGAUGAGCAUUUUUUAGAACAGUUUUGAAGAGCGUCCAUCCAGCUGAGUUUGUUUUUAUGUUGUGUUGUUGAUGAUGAUGUUUUGAGCAUCGAUUUAAUUAUAAGGCCUUUCAGAAAAUCCCUAAAAGAAUACAUUACAGCCAGAAAGAUUUGUUGGGGUCUUAUUAAAGCUGCUGAAAUCUUGUAAUGGGACUUGACCAAAAAUGAGAUUUAGAUUGGUUCAUUCUUAUAUUUAAGUAAGACUCAGAACAAACAGGCAGUCACUUAACCUACCAGAUACUGUUUCCUUGGAAAUAUUAUGGAAGGAAAGUGAAAACAACUCCAAUAUAUAAAUUUUGAGGGAAGCUAAGAGACUACACUAGCUUUCUUAGUCAAAACAAAACUUGGAAACAUUUUGCUUCUCUGAGACCCUUGCAAGAUCUGAAACUACUGUUCAACUGAGUCAGGAUGCUAUUUUCACAUUUUUUAAGGGCCAGUAUGUUCCAGAAUAGGGAAGUAGACUUAGUCUUUAAAGCCAAAUGAAGGGUUGACUGAUCCUUGAGGGUUAUUAGCAGAAUUUAAAUAUUCCUUCUAGUCAUUUGGCCUGCAAAAUGGUGAUGGAAUUAAAGGAAUGGAAUGCAUAGAGUGCUUUGAAAGGAUUGAACUUUUUUUUUUAAUAGACCAGCUGAAAAUUUCAUAAGUAUUACCUGUGCUUUUUAGAUACCAGGUAACAAGUAUUCAGUUUCCCCUAAAGAUAACAUCACCUAUUAGGACUAUUCACAAAUAUAGUCCAAUAACUAUUGACUUACCAGGUCUGACACAGUAGCUGAUUUAUUAUGUCACCAGACUCUCAAAGAGUUUCUAUAUCUUAAUCACUGACAAAUUUACUGUUUUACAGCCCACUGAAGUGUGUAUGUGUGGGGAGGUGGUGGGGAACUCGUUCACAAGAUAAUCUAAAGGAGAUAAACAUCUGUGGGGGUAAAUAUCCAAUGAUGAUAAUAUACAGGAAAACACAAGCCAUUUUUCUUCUUCUUUAUCCCAGUUAACCUGAGGUACUCUAAUGAUGAAGCACUCAAUUGCACUAUGACCUCCCUGAGUGAUGUGCAGCUUGUUCCUCUCUCACUUAUUAUUUCUGUGUAAUAUGCAAAUGUGAGUGUGAGAUCUUCAGUGUGUUUGCAUAAGCUAACUUAAAAUGAAUUUAAGUACAGUUUUCUGAAAUAUUUCUAUUGAAAUAAAUUACUUAACAAUA